RNAcentral lists this ribosomal RNA (226 nucleotides) under uncultured Oleiphilus sp. RNAcentral's name for it is "partial 16S ribosomal RNA". It matches the Rfam family "Bacterial small subunit ribosomal RNA", at positions 1115 to 1335 of the family's 1533-position model. The record is from RNAcentral. Lineage: Bacteria; Pseudomonadati; Pseudomonadota; Gammaproteobacteria; Oceanospirillales; Oleiphilaceae.
UUGUCACCAGCAUUUGGUGGGCAAUUUUGGGGGAAUGCCGGGGACAAACCGGGGGAAGGGGGGGAAGAAGUCAAGUCAUCCUGGGCCUUACGGCCAGGGGUACCACACGUGUUACAAUGGGAUUUCCAGUGGCCGGCGACGUCGGAAGGGGAGGCAAUUCUCCAAAAGGCGUCGUAGUCCGGAUUGGAGUCUGCAACUCGAGUCCAUGAAGUCGAAUCGCUGUAUC